UACGAAGGGGGCGAGCGUUGUUCGGAUUUACUGGGCGUAAAGGGCGCGUAGGCGGCCAGCACAAGUCAGUUGUGAAAUCUCCGAGCUUAACUCGGAAAGGUCAACUGAUACUGUGCGGCUAGAGUGCGGAAGGGGCAACUGGAAUUCUUGGUGUAGCGGUGAAAUGCGUAGAUAUCAAGAGGAACACCUGCGGCGAAGGCGGGUUGCUGGGCCGACACUGACGCUGAGGCGCGAAAGCCAGGGGAGCGAACGGG
RNAcentral lists this ribosomal RNA (254 nucleotides) under uncultured bacterium. Its description in RNAcentral is "partial 16S ribosomal RNA". It matches the Rfam family "Bacterial small subunit ribosomal RNA", at positions 524 to 776 of the family's 1533-position model. The record is from RNAcentral.